This is a long non-coding RNA of Brassica napus (rape), 1956 nucleotides long. RefSeq lists it as uncharacterized. The transcript has 3 exons. NCBI's taxonomy places the organism in Eukaryota, Viridiplantae, Streptophyta, Magnoliopsida, Brassicales, Brassicaceae. The record is from RefSeq and is a predicted model, not a curated record.
CCUGUUGGUUUGUGUUUACUAUUAUUGUUUGCUGGGCAGUAAGCUUCAGGUUCCUUCUUCCUCGUUUUUUUGGGAGGCUUCAUUGAUAUUUGGGAACACGCUAACGUUGCUUCGGUGAGACAAGGUAGCGUUGAAGUUGUUGAGUUUUGAUCUUCCUUUUUGUUAUGGGAUGUUUUGCUUUGGAUACCCUUUUCUACAGUUGAGUCCGGUGAUUGGUUGGCCUUGAGGGAAGAAAGCUUCGGGUUCCUCACUGGUUUGCUGCAAGAAGUCGUAUUUAGUCUGACGGUUUUCUCGGCCUUGUUCCCUUGUUUCCUAUUUUGCUAGGCUACUUAUCUUGGGGGUUUAUUAGUUGAUAGUUGAUAUUGGUAACACUUGUUUUGCUGCUCUCUGAAGGUUAAUAAAUAUCUGCUAAAGGAAGGUUUUGAGGAUGCAAUACAAUGUAUUUCAGUUUUCUUGCUCCAGGGUGUCAAGGUAACGUUGAAGUUCUUCCGAGUCCUAUUCGUCGUUUUUUUUGUUAUGGAAACGUUUUGCUUUGGACAAAAUCUUCUACAGUUCUGUAGUCUGGUGUUUUGUUGGCUUUGAGGGAAGUAACCUAUGGUUUCAGAACAGAGUCUCUGGUUAGUUAAUUUUGUUGGCUGGCCUUCACGGGAAGUAAGCUUAGCUUCUUCGGGUUUGUCAGCAGUCCCCAUCCUCUCUUUCCUUGUCCUGAUUUUUUGAAUUCUCGAGUUACACGUUCUUUGGCUCACGGAAGGUUAAUGUAGUAAUGUGUAUUUGCUAUAGAUUUGGAGGAUGGAAUAUCAUGGAUAUUUGAGAUUUGCUCUUUCCUUGAGAUAGUGACAAGGUAACAUUGAAUGGCCUCUUUGAGAUUUGCUCUUUCCUUUCUUUCUGUUAUGAAAACAUCUUGCUCUGGACACUCUUCUAUUGGAUAUAGUCUUCGGUGAUUUGAUAUGGCUGGGAGGAUGUGAAGCUCAAAUACGGUGGCGUUUGCUUCUGUAUCGUUGACUACUCUGAAGGUGUUUACCAAGAAGAUGGUGCCUCUUUUGUCUUCCUCUAGGUUUGCAGUAAUAUCACGUAGUCAGUAUCAUCUCAGUACAUCUGUUUUGUAUUUGGUUUUGUGGAAGAGUUUCGCUCUUUUCUUGUGCACUGCAUGGUUUCAUCAUUUGCCUCGUUUUUUCUGGUUCGAUGGUAACACAGGACAGGGCAUAUGAAUCUCGCCUUUGUCAGAAUAUGGUCGGAAACGUGUCUUAGCGACAGUGAGGGUACGGUGUGUCAGUCAUGUACUUGUGCAGAAUUUUUAAUCCAUUUCUUCACACUGCGCUUUGUUUCAACGGUGUGCCGCUAGACCUUUUUUUGGUGUCUUCCAGUCGCAGAGCUUUGCCCACCAGACCCGAGAUUGUAGCUCUAAUGGAGAAGUGUGGGGUAUGGGUUUAUGAUGACAUGCUCCAAGAUAUCAAAACACGUUUUCUCCAAUAUGCAAUGGAGAGAGAGCAGAACAAGGAAGGAUGUUCGAUGGUCUUCACUACCUCCCAUAGCUGAUAGCUUCGCCAGGAUGCUUAUCAUCUGAAAUCGUUACGGCUUCGGUUUUGUACUAGCUUUCUAGUUGAGCUCAACAGAAACAGUUUGGAAAGGAAGGCAGCAAGAGGCCUCGGAAACUUACGUAGCCUAAACCUCACAAGCUGCAAGCACCCUACCCAGUUUCCAGACCUUCUGAAGGCGACUAAACCUGAGCCUGUUAAACCCUCCAGUUGUGUUAAUAACUGGGAAGUAUGACAGAACAAAGACGAAGCUGCGAUACAAGUUAAUAGGCUUCAAGACAAGAAACAGGAGGACUUUGGACCUUCGGUGUUACCGCUACUGGCUAGAUCUCUUUUUCUAUACUACUGUAAAUAUAUGGUCUAUAUGUUGAUGUAUCAAUAUUCAGUCAAUGAAAGCAUAUAGCCUACUUUUGGUUUCAAA